UGAGCCUUGAUGUGUAGGAUAGGUGGGAGGCUUUGAAGUGUGGACGCCAGUCUGCAUGGAGCCGGCCUUGAAAUACCACCCUUUAAUGUUUGAUGUUCUAACGUUGACCCGUGAUCCGGGUUGCGGACAGUGUCUGGUGGGUAGUUUGACUGGGGCGGUCUCCUCCUAAAGAGUAACGGAGGAGCACGAAGGUUGGCUAAUCCUGGUCGGACAUCAGGAGGUUAGUGCAAUGGCAUAAGCCAGCUUGACUGCGAGCGUGACGGCGCGAGCAGGUGCGAAAGCAGGUCAUAGUGAUCCGGUGGUUCUGAAUGGAAGGGCCAUCGCUCAACGGAUAAAAGGUACUCCGGGGAUAACAGGCUGAUACCGCCCAAGAGUUCAUAUCGACGGCGGUGUUUGGCACCUCGAUGUCGGCUCAUCACAUCCUGGGGCUGAAGUAGGUCCCAAGGGUAUGGCUGUUCGCCAUUUAAAGUGGUACGCGAGCUGGGUUUAGAACGUCGUGAGACAGUUCGGUCCCUAUCUGCCGUGGGCGCUGGAGAACUGAGGGGGGCUGCUCCUAGUACGAGAGGACCGGAGUGGACGCAUCACUGGUGUUCGGGUUGUCAUGCCAAUGGCACUGCCCGGUAGCUAAAUGCGGAAGAGAUAAGUGCUGAAAGCAUCUAAGCACGAAACUUGCCCCGAGAUGAGUUCUCCCUGACUCCUUGAGAGUCCUGAAGGAACGUUGAAGACGACGACGUUGAUAGGCCGGGUGUGUAAGCGCAGCGAUGCGUUGAGCUAACCGGUACUAAUGAACCGUGAGG
Molecule: ribosomal RNA, 797 nt
Filed under: Escherichia coli
Lineage: Bacteria; Pseudomonadati; Pseudomonadota; Gammaproteobacteria; Enterobacterales; Enterobacteriaceae
Description: partial 23S ribosomal RNA
Rfam family: Bacterial large subunit ribosomal RNA
Source: RNAcentral